This 1506-nucleotide long non-coding RNA is filed under the name Pan troglodytes (chimpanzee). RNAcentral describes it as "long non-coding RNA NONPTRT008653". Lineage: Eukaryota; Metazoa; Chordata; Mammalia; Primates; Hominidae. The record is from RNAcentral.
AGCCAGGCGUGGUGGCAGGCACCUGUAGUCCCAGCUACUCGGGAAGGUGAGGCAGGAGAAUGGCAUGAACCUGGGAGGUGGAGCUUGCAGUGAGCCAAGAUCACAGCACUGCACUCCAGCCUGGGUAACAGAGCAAGACUCUGUCUCAAAAAAAAAAAAAAGAAAUCCUGUAUGAUCCAGCACCACCAUUUCUGAGUAUAUACCCUAUAGGAAUUGAAAGUAGAAUCUUGAAUAGACACUUGUACACUCAUCUUCAUAGCAGCAUUAUUUCAAUAGGCAAAAGGUGGAAGUAGCCCAAGUAUCCACUAACAGAUGAAUGGAUAAAUAAAUGUGGCAUAUAAAUACCAGAGAAUAUUAUUUCACCUAAAAAGGAAGGAUAUUCUGACACAUUAUACAACAUGGGUGAACCGUGAAGACCUUAUCCUAAGUGAAGUAAGCCAGUCUCAAAAGAUAAAUACUGUAGAAUCCACUUAUAUGAGUAUAGAAAUAUAGUUGAGACAUUUCUGGGGAAGUAGGGAAGGGGAAUGAGUUGUUGUUAAUGGGUACAGCAUUUUACUUUUUGGUAAGAGGAAAAAUGUUCUGGAGAUUAGUUGCAUAAAAAUGUGGAAUUUAUAUAACAUUACUACCCAAUUACAAUAGUCAAUGGUAAACUUUCUCCAUUGUGAAAUCUCUGAUGUUUAAUGAGGUUGGAGUUUUAGCUAAAGAAUUCCCCACAUUCAUGGAGCACACAAGUCUCUCUUCCCUGUGGAUUUUCUGGUGAUGAACCAGGUGAGACUUUCUAAUAAAGGCCUUCUGGCAUUCGCUGCACUCAUAAGGUCUUUCUCCACUGUGGAUUUUCUGGUGCUCAACAAGUAUAUGCUUGUGGCUAAAGGCUUUCCCACACUCUCUGCACUCGUAAGGCCUUUCUCCAGUGUGAUUUCUCCAAUGUUUAAUGAGGUUGGAGUUGUAACGAAAGAAUUUCCCGCAUUCGCUGCACUCAUAAGGCCUUUCUCCUGUGUGGACUCUCUGGUGUCUAAUGAGCCUGCAGUGGUACCUAAAUGAUUUCCCACAUUCACUGCAUUUAUAAGGCCUUUCUCCAGUGUGAUUUCUCCAAUGUUUAACGAGGCUGGAGUUGUACCUAAACAAUUCCCCACAUACACUGCACUCAUAAGGCCUUUCUCCAGUGUGAAUUCUCUGAUGUCUAAUGAGUGUGGAGAUAUACCUAAAAAAUUUCCCACAAUCAUUGCACUUAUAAGGUCUUUCUCCGGUGUGAACUCUCUGAUGUUUAAUGAGUGUGGAGCUGUCCAUAAAGAAUUUCCCACAUUCCCUGCACUCAUAUGGCCUUUCUCCGGUGUGAACUCUCUGAUGUCUAACAAAUGUGGAGCUGUACCGAAAGAAUUUCCCACAUGUGUUGCACUCAUAAGGCCUUUCUCCAGUGUGAACUCGCUUAUGUCUCAUGAGUCGGUAGUUGUACAUAAAGGAUUUUCCACAUUCUCUGCAUUCAUAAGUCCUUUCACUAGUGUGAAC